GGUUAAGCGACUAAGCGUACACGGUGGAUGCCCUGGCAGUCAGAGGCGAUGAAGGACGUGCUAAUCUGCGAAAAGCGUCGGUAAGGUGAUAUGAACCGUUAUAGCCGGCGAUGUCCGAAUGGGGAAACCCAGUGCAAUUCGUUGCACUAUCGUUAACUGAAUACAUAGGUUAACGAGGCGAACCGGGGGAACUGAAACAUCUAAGUACCCCGAGGAAAAGAAAUCAACCGAGAUUCCCCCAGUAGCGGCGAGCGAACGGGGAGCAGCCCGGAGUCUGAAUCAGCUUGUGUGUUAGUGGAAGCGUCUGGAAAGUCGCAGGGUACAGGGUGAUACUCCCGUACACUAAAACACACAGGUUGUGAACUCGAAGAGUAGGGCGGGACACGUGGUAUCCUGUCUGAAUAUGGGGGGACCAUCCUCCAAGGCUAAAUACUCCUGACUGACCGAUAGUGAACCAGUACCGUGAGGGAAAGGCGAAAAGAACCCCGGCGAGGGGAGUGAAAAAGAACCUGAAACCGUGUACGUACAAGCAGUAGGAGCCCACUAGUUGGGUGACUGCGUACCUUUUGUAUAAUGGGUCAGCGACUUAUAUUCUGUAGCAAGGUUAACCGUAUAGGGGAGCCGCAGGGAAACCGAGUCUUAACUGGGCGUUAAGUUGCAGGGUAUAGACCCGAAACCCGGUGAUCUAGCCAUGGGCAGGUUGAAGGUUGGGUAACACUAACUGGAGGACCGAACCGACUAAUGUUGAAAAAUUAGCGGAUGACUUGUGGCUGGGGGUGAAAGGCCAAUCAAACCGGGAGAUAGCUGGUUCUCCCCGAAAGCUAUUUAGGUAGCGCCUCGUGAACUCAUCUUCGGGGGUAGAGCACUGUUUCGGCUAGGGGGUCAUCCCGACUUACCAACCCGAUGCAAACUACGAAUACCGAAGAAUGUUAUCACGGGAGACACACGGCGGGUGCUAACGUCCGUCGUGAAGAGGGAAACAACCCAGACCGCCAGCUAAGGUCCCAAAGUCAUGGUUAAGUGGGAAACGAUGUGGGAAGGCCCAGACAGCCAGGAUGUUGGCUUAGAAGCAGCCAUCAUUUAAAGAAAGCGUAAUAGCUCACUGGUCGAGUCGGCCUGCGCGGAAGAUGUAACGGGGCUAAACCAUGCACCGAAGCUGCGGCAGCGACACUAUGUGUUGUUGGGUAGGGGAGCGUUCUGUAAGCCGUUGAAGGUGGCCUGUGAGGGUUGCUGGAGGUAUCAGAAGUGCGAAUGCUGACAUAAGUAACGAUAAUGCGGGUGAAAAACCCGCACGCCGGAAGACCAAGGGUUCCUGUCCAACGUUAAUCGGGGCAGGGUGAGUCGACCCCUAAGGCGAGGCCGAAAGGCGUAGUCGAUGGGAAACAGGUUAAUAUUCCUGUACUCGGUGUUACUGCGAAGGGGGGACGGAGAAGGCUAUGUUGGCCGGGCGACGGUUGUCCCGGUUUAAGCAUGUAGGCGGAUGUUCCAGGUAAAUCCGGAACGUUAUUAACGCUGAGGUGUGAUGACGAGGCACUACGGUGCUGAAGUGACAAAUGCCCUGCUUCCAGGAAAAGCCUCUAAGCAUCAGGUAACAUCAAAUCGUACCCCAAACCGACACAGGUGGUCAGGUAGAGAAUACCAAGGCGCUUGAGAGAACUCGGGUGAAGGAACUAGGCAAAAUGGUGCCGUAACUUCGGGAGAAGGCACGCUGAUGGUAGGUGAAGUGACUUGCUCAUGGAGCUGAAAUCAGUCGAAGAUACCAGCUGGCUGCAACUGUUUAUUAAAAACACAGCACUGUGCAAACACGAAAGUGGACGUAUACGGUGUGACGCCUGCCCGGUGCCGGAAGGUUAAUUGAUGGGGUUAUCCGUAAGGAGAAGCUCUUGAUCGAAGCCCCGGUAAACGGCGGCCGUAACUAUAACGGUCCUAAGGUAGCGAAAUUCCUUGUCGGGUAAGUUCCGACCUGCACGAAUGGCGUAAUGAUGGCCAGGCUGUCUCCACCCGAGACUCAGUGAAAUUGAACUCGCUGUGAAGAUGCAGUGUACCCGCGGCAAGACGGAAAGACCCCGUGAACCUUUACUAUAGCUUGACACUGAACACUGGUCCUUGAUGUGUAGGAUAGGUGGGAGGCUUUGAAGUGUGGACGCCAGUCUGCAUGGAGCCAUCCUUGAAAUACCACCCUUUAAUGGCUGGUGUUCUAACGUGGGCCCCUAAUCGGGGUUGCGGACAGUGUCUGGUGGGUAGUUUGACUGGGGCGGUCUCCUCCUAAAGAGUAACGGAGGAGCACGAAGGUCAGCUAAUCCUGGUCGGACAUCAGGAGGUUAGUGCAAUGGCAUAAGCUGGCUUGACUGCGAGCGUGACGGCGCGAGCAGGUGCGAAAGCAGGUCAUAGUGAUCCGGUGGUUCUGAAUGGAAGGGCCAUCGCUCAACGGAUAAAAGGUACUCCGGGGAUAACAGGCUGAUACCGCCCAAGAGUUCAUAUCGACGGCGGUGUUUGGCACCUCGAUGUCGGCUCAUCACAUCCUGGGGCUGAAGUAGGUCCCAAGGGUAUGGCUGUUCGCCAUUUAAAGUGGUACGCGAGCUGGGUUUAGAACGUCGUGAGACAGUUCGGUCCCUAUCUGCCGUGGGCGCUGGAGAAUUGAGGGGGGCUGCUCCUAGUACGAGAGGACCGGAGUGGACGCAUCACUGGUGUUCGGGUUGUCAUGCCAAUGGCAUUGCCCGGUAGCUAAAUGCGGAAGAGAUAAGUGCUGAAAGCAUCUAAGCACGAAACUUGCCCCGAGAUGAGUUCUCCCUGACCCUUUAAGGGUCCUGAAGGAACGUUGAAGACGACGACGUUGAUAGGCCGGGUGUGUAAGCGCAGCGAUGCGUUGAGCUAACCGGUACUAAUGAACCGUGAGGCUUAACCUU
Molecule: ribosomal RNA, 2906 nt
Filed under: Klebsiella michiganensis
Lineage: Bacteria; Pseudomonadati; Pseudomonadota; Gammaproteobacteria; Enterobacterales; Enterobacteriaceae
Description: 23S ribosomal RNA
Rfam family: Bacterial large subunit ribosomal RNA
Source: RNAcentral